GGGAACCCUUCCCAAUAUGGCUGUUCGCCAUUUCGGGAAGGGUU
Molecule: ribosomal RNA, 44 nt
Filed under: synthetic construct
Description: RNA (45mer) containing HP92 of the 23S rRNA from synthetic construct (PDB 7PMM, chain D)
Source: RNAcentral